This 1372-nucleotide ribosomal RNA is filed under the name uncultured bacterium. RNAcentral's name for it is "bacterial SSU rRNA". It matches the Rfam family "Bacterial small subunit ribosomal RNA", at positions 28 to 1381 of the family's 1533-position model. The record is from RNAcentral.
GAUGAACGCUGGCGGCGUGCCUAAUACAUGCAAGUCGAGCGAACGGACGAGAAGCUUGCUUCUCUGAUGUUAGCGGCGGACGGGUGAGUAACACGUGGAUAACCUACCUAUAAGACUGGGGUAACUUCGGGAAACCGGAGCUAAUACCGGAUAAUAUUUUGAACCGCAUGGUUCAAAAGUGAAAGACGGUCUUGCUGUCACUUAUAGAUGGAUCCGCGCUGCAUUAGCUAGUUGGUAAGGUAACGGCUUACCAAGGCAACGAUGCAUAGCCGACCUGAGAGGGUGAUCGGCCACACUGGAACUGAGACACGGUCCAGACUCCUACGGGAGGCAGCAGUAGGGAAUCUUCCGCAAUGGGCGAAAGCCUGACGGAGCAACGCCGCGUGAGUGAUGAAGGUCUUCGGAUCGUAAAACUCUGUUAUUAGGGAAGAACAUAUGUGUAAGUAACUGUGCACAUCUUGACGGUACCUAAUCAGAAAGCCACGGCUAACUACGUGCCAGCAGCCGCGGUAAUACGUAGGUGGCAAGCGUUAUCCGGAAUUAUUGGGCGUAAAGCGCGCGUAGGCGGUUUUUUAAGUCUGAUGUGAAAGCCCACGGCUCAACCGUGGAGGGUCAUUGGAAACUGGAAAACUUGAGUGCAGAAGAGGAAAGUGGAAUUCCAUGUGUAGCGGUGAAAUGCGCAGAGAUAUGGAGGAACACCAGUGGCGAAGGCGACUUUCUGGUCUGUAACUGACGCUGAUGUGCGAAAGCGUGGGGAUCAAACAGGAUUAGAUACCCUGGUAGUCCACGCCGUAAACGAUGAGUGCUAAGUGUUAGGGGGUUUCCGCCCCUUAGUGCUGCAGCUAACGCAUUAAGCACUCCGCCUGGGGAGUACGACCGCAAGGUUGAAACUCAAAGGAAUUGACGGGGACCCGCACAAGCGGUGGAGCAUGUGGUUUAAUUCGAAGCAACGCGAAGAACCUUACCAAAUCUUGACAUCCUUUGACAACUCUAGAGAUAGAGCUUUCCCCUUCGGGGGACAGAGUGACAGGUGGUGCAUGGUUGUCGUCAGCUCGUGUCGUGAGAUGUUGGGUUAAGUCCCGCAACGAGCGCAACCCUUAAGCUUAGUUGCCAUCAUUAAGUUGGGCACUCUAAGUUGACUGCCGGUGACAAACCGGAGGAAGGUGGGGAUGACGUCAAAUCAUCAUGCCCCUUAUGAUUUGGGCUACACACGUGCUACAAUGGACAAUACAAAGGGCAGCGAAACCGCGAGGUCAAGCAAAUCCCAUAAAGUUGUUCUCAGUUCGGAUUGUAGUCUGCAACUCGACUACAUGAAGCUGGAAUCGCUAGUAAUCGUAGAUCAGCAUGCUACGGUGAAUACGUUCCCGGGUCU